UACGGAGGGAGCUAGCGUUGUCCGAAGUUACUGGGCGUAAAGCGCACGUAGGCGGACCAGAAAGUCAGGGGUGAAAUCCCGGGGCUCAACCCCGGAACUGCCUUUGAAACUUCUGGUCUUGAGGUCGAGAGAGGUGAGUGGAAUUCCGAGUGUAGAGGUGAAAUUCGUAGAUAUUCGGAGGAACACCAGUGGCGAAGGCGGCUCACUGGCUCGAUACUGACGCUGAGGUGCGAAAGCGUGGGGAGCAAACAGG
RNAcentral lists this ribosomal RNA (253 nucleotides) under uncultured bacterium. RNAcentral's name for it is "partial 16S ribosomal RNA". It matches the Rfam family "Bacterial small subunit ribosomal RNA", at positions 524 to 776 of the family's 1533-position model. The record is from RNAcentral.